RNAcentral lists this long non-coding RNA (405 nucleotides) under Rattus norvegicus (Norway rat). RNAcentral's name for it is "long non-coding RNA NONRATT008586". Lineage: Eukaryota; Metazoa; Chordata; Mammalia; Rodentia; Muridae. The record is from RNAcentral.
GCAGUAUCACAGCUACGUCUACAGGGGAGUUGCUUCUGUCAUGGACAUGCCGACCGCUGUGCCCCUAAUCCUGGAGGCCCUACAGGUUCCACCACCGCUGUGCAGGUCAACGAUGUCUGUGUCUGCCAGCACAACACAGCUGGCCCCAACUGUGACCGCUGCGCCCCCUUCUACAACAACCGGCCAUGGAGACCUGCAGAGGGACAGGACAUCCAUGAGUGCCAAAGGUGUGACUGCAAUGGGCACUCAGAGACCUGCCACUUCGACCCAGCUGUGUUUGCUGCUAGCCAAGGGACAAGUGGAGGCGUGUGUGACAACUGCCAGGACCACACAGAGGGCAAGAACUGUGAGCGAUGUCAGCUACACUAUUUCCGGAAUAGACGACCAGGCGCUCCCAUUCAUGAG